This is a long non-coding RNA of Mytilus trossulus (common blue mussel), 419 nucleotides long. RefSeq lists it as uncharacterized. The record is from RefSeq and is a predicted model, not a curated record. Lineage: Eukaryota; Metazoa; Mollusca; Bivalvia; Mytilida; Mytilidae. The transcript is spliced from 4 exons.
AAUUUCAGGUUGCACGUUAUACAGUUAGUCUAAGAGUGGUUAACAUCAUUGAAGAGAAUUUAAGCUUUUCAGCUGGGAUAUACAAUGUUUCAGUUAAAGAGGAUGCAACUCCAUCUUCAGUUAUCUUACGUGAUAUAGAAGUGAGACUUGGAGAUCCUGGAAACAAUGGAUUGAAUCUUAUUCAGUUUAAAGUACAGAGUUCUUUUGACAAAUACUUUAUUCUGCAAGUAGAUCAAUCUCGUACACCAGCUACUGCUAAAGUAUAUAAACUCCAGCUACAACACCAGCUGAAUUAUACCGAGAAAACCCAAUACAAUUUUACUGCAGUAGCUUCUUUGGAAGGUUAUCCAGAUAAAAAUGCUACAGCUCACUUCAUAGUAAAUGUAGUAGAUGUAGAUGACCAAAACCCAAAGUUUACA